This 473-nucleotide ribosomal RNA is filed under the name Turritropis sp. TT-2021. RNAcentral describes it as "partial 16S ribosomal RNA". It matches the Rfam family "Bacterial large subunit ribosomal RNA", at positions 1819 to 2561 of the family's 2925-position model. Lineage: Eukaryota; Metazoa; Mollusca; Gastropoda; Littorinimorpha; Capulidae. The record is from RNAcentral.
GGCUCUUUGAUUAAUUAGCAUAAAGAGUCGGACCUGCCCAGUGAAACAUAUCUUCAACGGCCGCGGUACUUUGACCGUGCAAAGGUAGCAUAAUCAUUUGCCCUAUAAUUGGGGGCUAGUAUGAAUGGUUUGACAAGAGCAAUUCUGUCUCUAUACAAUUCUAUAAAAUUUAAUUUUCAGCUGAAGAAGUCUGAAUUUAAUUAAAAGACAAGAAGACCCUAUCGAGCUUUAAAAAAAUUAAAAGAUUAGCAAUUAUAUUUUAUAAAAUAAUAACUUUUAAAAAUUUUAGUUGGGGCGACUAAGGAACAAAUAAAGCUUCUUUUUAAUAAAAAAUAAACAUAUAAUGAUCCAAAAAUUUUGAUUAAAGAAAUUAGUUACCGUAGGGAUAACAGCAUAAUCUUUUUUAAGAGUUCUUAUCGAAAAAUCUUCUUGUGACCUCGAUGUUGGACCAGAAUAUCCUAAAGAUGCAACCG